UUUUUUUUUUUUUUUUUUUUUUUUUUCCUUC
This 31-nucleotide non-coding RNA is filed under the name Prorocentrum micans. Lineage: Eukaryota; Dinophyceae; Prorocentrales; Prorocentraceae. The record is from RNAcentral.